CAGUCGCCGCGGGAAUACGAAGGGUGCAAGCGUUACUCGGAAUUACUGGGCGUAAAGCGUGCGUAGGUGGUGGUUUAAGUCCGUUGUGAAAGCCCUGGGCUCAACCUGGGAAUUGCAGUGGAUACUGGGUCACUAGAGUGUGGUAGAGGAUAGUGGAAUUUCCGGUGUAGCAGUGAAAUGCGUAGAGAUCUGAAGGAACAUCUGUGGCGAAGGCGACUAUCUGGGCCAACACUGACACUGAGGCACGAAAGCGUGGGGAGCAAACAGGAUUAGAUACCCCCGUAGUCCCUGUCUCUUAUAC
This 301-nucleotide ribosomal RNA is filed under the name uncultured bacterium. Its description in RNAcentral is "partial 16S ribosomal RNA". It matches the Rfam family "Bacterial small subunit ribosomal RNA", at positions 509 to 807 of the family's 1533-position model. The record is from RNAcentral.